UAUAAUUAUAGGGUUAAUUGUAUACAGGUCCUUGCAAAUAUAGUAAAUUAUAAAUAUAUUCAUGUAAAGUUCAACUUUCAUAUGUUGUUUCUGCAAAAGUUCUGAUAUUUUCAAAUAUGUUUCUGUCGUUAGAAUUCGUUAGAAAAAUUUAGUUAAUUAUGGGUUAAAUAAUUAGUUAAUGAGCUGAAUUGACCUUUUUACCUCUCUUUAAUUAACAGUUGGAACUUUUGGAGGAACAUUUGUGAUGACAAAAAAAUUAUUUCACUUAUAAAAUAGACAGUAUUUUAACGAUAAUAAAACAGAGGGACAUAUUUGAAAAUAUUUAGAAUUUUGCAGGGACAAUAUAUAAAAGUUGAAUUUUGUAGAGAUAUAUUUUAGAAUUUACUAUAUUUGCAAGGAUCUGUAUAAAAUUAACCAUAUAUUAUAUAUGUAUAGAAUAUAGAUAG
This 446-nucleotide long non-coding RNA is filed under the name Ananas comosus (pineapple). RNAcentral's name for it is "long non-coding RNA (ACOM_LNC012521)". The record is from RNAcentral. Lineage: Eukaryota; Viridiplantae; Streptophyta; Magnoliopsida; Poales; Bromeliaceae.